This 388-nucleotide ribosomal RNA is filed under the name uncultured bacterium. RNAcentral describes it as "bacterial SSU rRNA". It matches the Rfam family "Bacterial small subunit ribosomal RNA", at positions 27 to 407 of the family's 1533-position model. The record is from RNAcentral.
GAAUGAACGUUGGCGGCGUGGAUUAGGCAUGCAAGUCGAGCGGUAAGGCCCUUUCGGGGGUACGACGAGCGGCGAACGGGUGAGUAACACGUGGGUGACCUGCCCUCCAGCUCUGGGAUAAAGCCUGGGAAACUAGGGUCUAAUACUGGAUAUGACUCCACGGUGCAUGUCGUGGGGUGGAAAGCCUUGUGCGGCUGAGGAUGGGCCCGCGGCCUAUCAGCUUGUUGGUGGGGUGAUGGCCUACCAAGGCGACGACGGGUAGCCGGCCUGAGAGGGCGACCGGCCACACUGGGACUGAGACACGGCCCAGACUCCUACGGGAGGGCAGCAGUGGGGGAAGUCUUUGCGCAAUGGGCGAAAGACCUGACGCAGCGACGCCGCGUGAGGG